UCAGCAGCCGCGGUAAUACGUAGGUGGCGAGCGUUGUCCGGAUUCAUUGGGUUUAAAGGGUGCGUAGGCGGCUGAUUAAGUCAGUGCUGAAAGCCCCCGGCUUAACCGGGGAGGUGGCAUUGAUACUGGUCGGCUUGAGUGCUGUCGAGGCAGGCGGAAUUGACGGUGUAGCGGUGAAAUGCUUAGAUAUCGUCAGGAACACCGAUAGUGAAGACAGCUUGCCAGAGAGCAACUGACGCUGAGGCACGAAAGUGUGGGGAGCAAACAGGAUUAGAUACCCUGGUAGUCCACACUGUAAACGAUGAUGACUCGCUGUUGGCGAUAUACGGUCAGCGGCCAAGAGAAAUCGUUAAGUCAUCCACCUGGGGAGUACGCCGGCAACGGUGAAACUCACAGGA
RNAcentral lists this ribosomal RNA (398 nucleotides) under uncultured bacterium. Its description in RNAcentral is "bacterial SSU rRNA". It matches the Rfam family "Bacterial small subunit ribosomal RNA", at positions 508 to 908 of the family's 1533-position model. The record is from RNAcentral.